Molecule: ribosomal RNA, 253 nt
Filed under: uncultured bacterium
Lineage: Bacteria
Description: partial 16S ribosomal RNA
Rfam family: Bacterial small subunit ribosomal RNA
Source: RNAcentral
UACAGAGGUCCCAAGCGUUGUUCGGAUUCACUGGGCGUAAAGGGUGCGUAGGUGGUUGGGUAAGUUUGAUGUGAAAGCUCUGGGCUCAACCCAGAAAUGGCAUUGAAUACUAUCCGGCUAGAGGAGUGGAGGGGGGACUGGAAUACUUGGUGUAGCAGUGAAAUGCGUAGAUAUCAAGUGGAACACCAGUGGCGAAGGCGAGUCCCUGGACACUUCCUGACACUGAGGCACGAAAGCUAGGGGAGCAAACAGG